GACGAACGCUGGCGGCGUGCUUAACACAUGCAAGUCGAACGGAAAGGCCCUGCUUUUGUGGGGUGCUCGAGUGGCGAACGGGUGAGUAACACGUGAGUAACCUGCCCUUGACUUUGGGAUAACUUCAGGAAACUGGGGCUAAUACCGGAUAGGAGCUCCUGCUGCAUGGUGGGGGUUGGAAAGUUUCGGCGGUGGGGGAUGGAUUCGCGGCUUAUCAGCUUGUUGGUGGGGUAGUGGCUUACCAAGGCUUUGACGGGUAGCCGGCCUGAGAGGGUGACCGGCCACAUUGGGACUGAGAUACGGCCCAGACUCCUACGGGAGGCAGCAGUGGGGAAUAUUGCACAAUGGGCGGAAGCCUGAGGCAGCAACGCCGCGUGCGGGAUGACGGCCUUCGGGUUGUAAACCGCUUUCGCCUGUGACGAAGCGUGAGUGACGGUAAUGGGUAAAGAAGCACCGGCUAACUACGUG
Molecule: ribosomal RNA, 468 nt
Filed under: uncultured bacterium
Lineage: Bacteria
Description: partial 16S ribosomal RNA
Rfam family: Bacterial small subunit ribosomal RNA
Source: RNAcentral